CGGCGGACGGGUGAGUAACGCGUGGGUAACCUACCCUGUACAGGGGGAUAACAGUCAGAAAUGACUGCUAAUACCGCAUAAGACCACAGCACCGCAUGGUGCAGGGGUAAAAACUCCGGUGGUACAGGAUGGACCCGCGUCUGAUUAGCUGGUUGGUGAGGUAACGGCUCACCAAGGCGACGAUCAGUAGCCGGCUUGAGAGAGUGAACGGCCACAUUGGGACUGAGACACGGCCCAA
This 238-nucleotide ribosomal RNA is filed under the name uncultured bacterium. RNAcentral describes it as "partial 16S ribosomal RNA". It matches the Rfam family "Bacterial small subunit ribosomal RNA", at positions 96 to 334 of the family's 1533-position model. The record is from RNAcentral.